CCUACGGGUGGCAGCAGUGGGGAAUCUUGCACCAUGGAGGGAAGUCUGAUGCAGCGACGCCGCGUGCGUGAUGAAGUACUUCGUUUUGUAAAGCUUUAUUAUCAGGGAAGAAAGUGACGGUACGUAACAGUGCAGCUCUGUCUAAAUACGUGCCAGCAAACGAGGUAAGACGUAUGGAGCAAGCGUUAUCCGGAGUUACUGUGUGGAAAGUGAGAGUAGGUGGCAGUGCAUGUCUGAAGGGAAAACCCAAGGAUCAACCAUGGUAAGUCUUUAGAAACGGCACAGCUAGAGUGCAGAAGAGGAAAGUGGAAUUCUAAGUGUAGCGGUGAAAUGCGUAGAGAUAAGGAGGAACACCAGUGGCGAAGGCGACUUGCUGGUCUGUAACUGACGCUGAUGUGCGAAAGCGUGGGGAUCAAACAGGAUUAGAUACCCUAGUAGUC
RNAcentral lists this ribosomal RNA (440 nucleotides) under uncultured bacterium. RNAcentral's name for it is "partial 16S ribosomal RNA". It matches the Rfam family "Bacterial small subunit ribosomal RNA", at positions 338 to 795 of the family's 1533-position model. The record is from RNAcentral.